This 471-nucleotide ribosomal RNA is filed under the name uncultured organism. Its description in RNAcentral is "bacterial SSU rRNA". It matches the Rfam family "Bacterial small subunit ribosomal RNA", at positions 28 to 507 of the family's 1533-position model. The record is from RNAcentral.
GACGAACGCUGGCGGCGUGCUUAACACAUGCAAGUCGAACGCUGAAACACUGAGCUUGCUCGGUGUGGAUGAGUGGCGAACGGGUGAGUAACACGUGAGUAACCUGCCCCUGACUCUGGGAUAAGCGCUGGAAACGGCGUCUAAUACUGGAUAUGACCCCUGGCCGCAUGGUCUGGGGGUGGAAAGAUUUAUCGGUUGGGGAUGGGCUCGCGGCCUAUCAGCUGGAUGGUGAGGUAACGGCUCACCAUGGCGACGACGGGUAGCCGGCCUGAGAGGGUGACCGGCCACACUGGGACUGAGACACGGCCCAGACUCCUACGGGAGGCAGCAGUGGGGAAUAUUGCACAAUGGGCGAAAGCCUGAUGCAGCAACGCCGCGUGAGGGAUGACGGCCUUCGGGUUGUAAACCUCUUUUAGCAGGGAAGAAGCGUGAGUGACGGUACCUGCAGAAAAAGCACCGGCUAACUACGUG